UACGGGAGUGGCAAGCGUUAUCCGGAAUUAUUGGGCGUAAAGCGUCCGCAGGCGGCCCUGUAAGUCUGCUGUCAAAGCGUGGAGCUUAACUCCAUUUCGGCAGUGGAAACUACAGGGCUUGAGUGUGGUAGGGGCAGAGGGAAUUCCCGGUGUAGCGGUGAAAUGCGUAGAUAUCGGGAAGAACACCAGUGGCGAAGGCGCUCUGCUGGGCCAUAACUGACGCUCAUGGACGAAAGCCAGGGGAGCGAAAGGG
RNAcentral lists this ribosomal RNA (253 nucleotides) under uncultured bacterium. RNAcentral describes it as "partial 16S ribosomal RNA". It matches the Rfam family "Bacterial small subunit ribosomal RNA", at positions 524 to 776 of the family's 1533-position model. The record is from RNAcentral.